This 89-nucleotide small nucleolar RNA is filed under the name Microtus ochrogaster (prairie vole). RNAcentral describes it as "Small nucleolar SNORD12/SNORD106 (ENSMOCG00000003831.1)". It matches the Rfam family "Small nucleolar SNORD12/SNORD106". Rfam says of the family: This family belong to the C/D class of snoRNA which contain the C (UGAUGA) and D (CUGA) box motifs. This family includes the human ortholog of mouse snoRNA HBII-99 and human snoRNA U106. The record is from Rfam by way of RNAcentral. Lineage: Eukaryota; Metazoa; Chordata; Mammalia; Rodentia; Cricetidae.
CCAGGCAUGUAUGAUGACAGAACUUUUUUCCCCAUCAGAUCGACCAUGUUGAUCACAUUCUUAUAAGCCAGUUUGCCUGACAUGCCUGU